UUUCUUCUAGCUUAAGGAUUAAAGCGUUAGUUUGAAGCACUGAAGUUAACUUACAGUUGAAGCGGA
Molecule: transfer RNA, 66 nt
Filed under: Rhinebothrium sp. 1
Lineage: Eukaryota; Metazoa; Platyhelminthes; Cestoda; Rhinebothriidea; Rhinebothriidae
Description: tRNA-Phe
Source: RNAcentral